This 490-nucleotide ribosomal RNA is filed under the name uncultured bacterium. Its description in RNAcentral is "partial 16S ribosomal RNA". It matches the Rfam family "Bacterial small subunit ribosomal RNA", at positions 30 to 507 of the family's 1533-position model. The record is from RNAcentral.
AUUGAACGCUGGCGGCAGGCCUAACACAUGCAAGUCGAACGGUAACAGGAAGAAGCUUGCUUCUUUGCUGACGAGUGGCGGACGGGUGAGUAAUGUCUGGGAAACUGCCUGAUGGAGGGGGAUAACUACUGGAAACGGUAGCUAAUACCGCAUAACGUCGCAAGACCAAAGAGGGGGACCUUCGGGCCUCUUGCCAUCGGAUGUGCCCAGAUGGGAUUAGCUAGUAGGUGGGGUAACGGCUCACCUAGGCGACGAUCCCUAGCUGGUCUGAGAGGAUGACCAGCCACACUGGAACUGAGACACGGUCCAGACUCCUACGGCAGGCAGCAGUGGGGAAUAUUGCACAAUGGGCGCAAGCCUGAUGCAGCCAUGCCGCGUGUAUGAAGAAGGCCUUCGGGUUGUAAAGUACUUUCAGCGGGGAGGAAGGGAGUAAAGUUAAUACCUUUGCUCAUUGACGUUACCCGCAGAAGAAGCACCGGCUAACUCCGUG